RNAcentral lists this ribosomal RNA (450 nucleotides) under Triticum aestivum (bread wheat). RNAcentral describes it as "partial small subunit ribosomal RNA". Lineage: Eukaryota; Viridiplantae; Streptophyta; Magnoliopsida; Poales; Poaceae. The record is from RNAcentral.
AUGAAUGGCCUGUUCUGGAAUUUUAGGGGAGCAGGUAAGAAAGGAAUGACUACCUGCUUCUUAGAUCUAAUUAAAGAUCAUUCCUUGGAUUUUAUAGGCCUUCAAGAAACUAUUGAAAAGAAUUUUCCUCCCAAGUUUGUAAGAAAAAAUGAUCCCUUCGAUAGAUUUGUCUGGAACUGGGUUCCAUCUGUUGGGAAAUCAAGUGGUAUCCUGUGUGGUGUAAAAAAAGAAACCCUAGAGAUUUUCUCUUGGGUGGUUGGUAAUUUCCUUUUACAAGUCAAUCUACAUGAUGUGAAUCAUAAGUGUGUCUGGGCUCUCAUAAUUGUCUAUGAAGCAGCCCAAGAUGAUAGAAAAGACAAAUUCCUUGCAGAACUAGUUUCUAUUUGUGCUCAACUUCAUGUCCCAUAUAUAGUCACUAGUGCAGAACCGGGCUUUAGCGCCGGUUCGUAA